This 289-nucleotide unclassified non-coding RNA is filed under the name Hevea brasiliensis (rubber tree). The record is from RNAcentral. Lineage: Eukaryota; Viridiplantae; Streptophyta; Magnoliopsida; Malpighiales; Euphorbiaceae.
UUUCUCCUUUUUUUUUUUUUGUUAUACUUUAUCACUCUUCCUGCCCCAAACACCACGGCUCCCAACUGAAUGCAAGAAGAAAUAACAACACGAUUAUGAAAAAUAUAUCAUAUAUACAAUCUCAUUUAUCAAUGAGUUAAGCCAGUGGACCUCAACAUCCUAGGCUAGAAGAUGUCAAAACAUUAACCUUGAAUUGUUUUUUAGGUAUUCAUUUCUUUUAGGGUAGAUUUUUUAGGUGUUUUUUUACAAUCUCUAAUUUUAUCACUAUUGGUUUGGUGUGCCAAAUAUG